RNAcentral lists this ribosomal RNA (2901 nucleotides) under Escherichia coli. Its description in RNAcentral is "23S ribosomal RNA". It matches the Rfam family "Bacterial large subunit ribosomal RNA". Lineage: Bacteria; Pseudomonadati; Pseudomonadota; Gammaproteobacteria; Enterobacterales; Enterobacteriaceae. The record is from RNAcentral.
UUAAGCGACUAAGCGUACACGGUGGAUGCCCUGGCAGUCAGAGGCGAUGAAGGACGUGCUAAUCUGCGAUAAGCGUCGGUAAGGUGAUAUGAACCGUUAUAACCGGCGAUUUCCGAAUGGGGAAACCCAGUGUGAUUCGUCACACUAUCAUUAACUGAAUCCAUAGGUUAAUGAGGCGAACCGGGGGAACUGAAACAUCUAAGUACCCCGAGGAAAAGAAAUCAACCGAGAUUCCCCCAGUAGCGGCGAGCGAACGGGGAGGAGCCCAGAGCCUGAAUCAGUGUGUGUGUUAGUGGAAGCGUCUGGAAAGGCGCGCGAUACAGGGUGACAGCCCCGUACACAAAAAUGCACAUGCUGUGAGCUCGAUGAGUAGGGCGGGACACGUGGUAUCCUGUCUGAAUAUGGGGGGACCAUCCUCCAAGGCUAAAUACUCCUGACUGACCGAUAGUGAACCAGUACCGUGAGGGAAAGGCGAAAAGAACCCCGGCGAGGGGAGUGAAAAAGAACCUGAAACCGUGUACGUACAAGCAGUGGGAGCACGCUUAGGCGUGUGACUGCGUACCUUUUGUAUAAUGGGUCAGCGACUUAUAUUCUGUAGCAAGGUUAACCGAAUAGGGGAGCCGAAGGGAAACCGAGUCUUAACUGGGCGUUAAGUUGCAGGGUAUAGACCCGAAACCCGGUGAUCUAGCCAUGGGCAGGUUGAAGGUUGGGUAACACUAACUGGAGGACCGAACCGACUAAUGUUGAAAAAUUAGCGGAUGACUUGUGGCUGGGGGUGAAAGGCCAAUCAAACCGGGAGAUAGCUGGUUCUCCCCGAAAGCUAUUUAGGUAGCGCCUCGUGAAUUCAUCUCCGGGGGUAGAGCACUGUUUCGGCAAGGGGGUCAUCCCGACUUACCAACCCGAUGCAAACUGCGAAUACCGGAGAAUGUUAUCACGGGAGACACACGGCGGGUGCUAACGUCCGUCGUGAAGAGGGAAACAACCCAGACCGCCAGCUAAGGUCCCAAAGUCAUGGUUAAGUGGGAAACGAUGUGGGAAGGCCCAGACAGCCAGGAUGUUGGCUUAGAAGCAGCCAUCAUUUAAAGAAAGCGUAAUAGCUCACUGGUCGAGUCGGCCUGCGCGGAAGAUGUAACGGGGCUAAACCAUGCACCGAAGCUGCGGCAGCGACGCUUAUGCGUUGUUGGGUAGGGGAGCGUUCUGUAAGCCUGCGAAGGUGUGCUGUGAGGCAUGCUGGAGGUAUCAGAAGUGCGAAUGCUGACAUAAGUAACGAUAAAGCGGGUGAAAAGCCCGCUCGCCGGAAGACCAAGGGUUCCUGUCCAACGUUAAUCGGGGCAGGGUGAGUCGACCCCUAAGGCGAGGCCGAAAGGCGUAGUCGAUGGGAAACAGGUUAAUAUUCCUGUACUUGGUGUUACUGCGAAGGGGGGACGGAGAAGGCUAUGUUGGCCGGGCGACGGUUGUCCCGGUUUAAGCGUGUAGGCUGGUUUUCCAGGCAAAUCCGGAAAAUCAAGGCUGAGGCGUGAUGACGAGGCACUACGGUGCUGAAGCAACAAAUGCCCUGCUUCCAGGAAAAGCCUCUAAGCAUCAGGUAACAUCAAAUCGUACCCCAAACCGACACAGGUGGUCAGGUAGAGAAUACCAAGGCGCUUGAGAGAACUCGGGUGAAGGAACUAGGCAAAAUGGUGCCGUAACUUCGGGAGAAGGCACGCUGAUAUGUAGGUGAAGUCCCUCGCGGAUGGAGCUGAAAUCAGUCGAAGAUACCAGCUGGCUGCAACUGUUUAUUAAAAACACAGCACUGUGCAAACACGAAAGUGGACGUAUACGGUGUGACGCCUGCCCGGUGCCGGAAGGUUAAUUGAUGGGGUCAGCGCAAGCGAAGCUCUUGAUCGAAGCCCCGGUAAACGGCGGCCGUAACUAUAACGGUCCUAAGGUAGCGAAAUUCCUUGUCGGGUAAGUUCCGACCUGCACGAAUGGCGUAAUGAUGGCCAGGCUGUCUCCACCCGAGACUCAGUGAAAUUGAACUCGCUGUGAAGAUGCAGUGUACCCGCGGCAAGACGGAAAGACCCCGUGAACCUUUACUAUAGCUUGACACUGAACAUUGAGCCUUGAUGUGUAGGAUAGGUGGGAGGCUUUGAAGUGUGGACGCCAGUCUGCAUGGAGCCGACCUUGAAAUACCACCCUUUAAUGUUUGAUGUUCUAACGUUGACCCGUGAUCCGGGUUGCGGACAGUGUCUGGUGGGUAGUUUGACUGGGGCGGUCUCCUCCUAAAGAGUAACGGAGGAGCACGAAGGUUGGCUAAUCCUGGUCGGACAUCAGGAGGUUAGUGCAAUGGCAUAAGCCAGCUUGACUGCGAGCGUGACGGCGCGAGCAGGUGCGAAAGCAGGUCAUAGUGAUCCGGUGGUUCUGAAUGGAAGGGCCAUCGCUCAACGGAUAAAAGGUACUCCGGGGAUAACAGGCUGAUACCGCCCAAGAGUUCAUAUCGACGGCGGUGUUUGGCACCUCGAUGUCGGCUCAUCACAUCCUGGGGCUGAAGUAGGUCCCAAGGGUAUGGCUGUUCGCCAUUUAAAGUGGUACGCGAGCUGGGUUUAGAACGUCGUGAGACAGUUCGGUCCCUAUCUGCCGUGGGCGCUGGAGAACUGAGGGGGGCUGCUCCUAGUACGAGAGGACCGGAGUGGACGCAUCACUGGUGUUCGGGUUGUCAUGCCAAUGGCACUGCCCGGUAGCUAAAUGCGGAAGAGAUAAGUGCUGAAAGCAUCUAAGCACGAAACUUGCCCCGAGAUGAGUUCUCCCUGACUCCUUGAGAGUCCUGAAGGAACGUUGAAGACGACGACGUUGAUAGGCCGGGUGUGUAAGCGCAGCGAUGCGUUGAGCUAACCGGUACUAAUGAACCGUGAGGCUUAACCU